Molecule: ribosomal RNA, 516 nt
Filed under: uncultured bacterium
Lineage: Bacteria
Description: partial 16S ribosomal RNA
Rfam family: Bacterial small subunit ribosomal RNA
Source: RNAcentral
ACGAACGCUGGCGGCGUGCUUAACACAUGCACGUCGAACGGGCUUCUGGGGUUCUGGCUUUUUUGGUUGGGGUUCUGGGGGUUAGUGGCGAACAGGUGAGUAACACGUGAGUAACCUGCCCUUCACCUCUGGAUAACCGCUUGAAAGGGUGGCUAAUACGGGAUGUUUCUGGGUCUGUCGCAUGGCGGGUUCGGGAAAGAUGGCACUGUUUGGUGUUUUUGGUGGGGGAUGGGCUCGCGGCCUAUCAGCUUGUUGGUGGGGUGAUGGCCUGCCAAGGCGUUGUGGGGUAGCCGGCCUGAGAGGGUGGGCGGUCACGCUGGGACUGAGAGACGGCCCAGACUCCUACGGGGGGCAGCAGUGGGGAAUAUUGCACAAUGGGCGGAAGCCUGAUGCAGCGACGUCGCGUGAGGGAUGGAGGCCUUCGGGUUGUGAACCUCUUUCGCCAGGGAGGAAGGCCUUGCCCGUGUGGUGGGGUUGACGGUAGCUGGGUUAAUUGAAGCGCCGGCUAACUACGUG